GCUGUUCGCCCAUUAAAGCGGUACGCGAGCUGGGUUCAAUACGUCGUGAGACAGUAUGGUCCUUAUCCGUCGUGGGCGCAGGAUAUUUGAGGGGAGUUGCUCCUAGUACGAGAGGACCGGAGUGAACAAACCUCUGGUGUACCAGUUGUGGCGCUAGCCGCAUCGCUGGGUAGCCAUGUUUGGAAGGGAUAAAUGCUGAAAGCAUCUAAGCAUGAAGCCCACCCCAAGAUUAGAUAUCCCAUCCUAAAAAAACAUGGAUAAGGGGUUAGUGAUAAUCCCUGCCAUCUGUUUUAAGGGAGUAAGACCUCUUCGAGAAAAGGAGAUUGAUAGGCCAAGGGUGUAAUGCCCGUAAGGGUUUUAGCUGAUUGGUACUAAUAGGUCGAGGACUUGACCAU
Molecule: ribosomal RNA, 395 nt
Filed under: Candidatus Desantisbacteria bacterium CG_4_10_14_0_8_um_filter_39_17
Lineage: Bacteria; Candidatus Desantisiibacteriota
Description: partial 23S ribosomal RNA
Rfam family: Bacterial large subunit ribosomal RNA
Source: RNAcentral